GGGCGUAGCUCAGGGGUAGAGCAGCAGCUUCCCAAGCUGAAGGUCGCGGGUUCGAAUCCCGUCGCCC
This 67-nucleotide transfer RNA is filed under the name marine eukaryotic metagenome. It matches the Rfam family "tRNA". Rfam says of the family: Transfer RNA (tRNA) molecules are approximately 80 nucleotides in length. Their secondary structure includes four short double-helical elements and three loops (D, anti-codon, and T loops). Further hydrogen bonds mediate the characteristic L-shaped molecular structure. tRNAs have two regions of fundamental functional importance: the anti-codon, which is responsible for specific mRNA codon recognition, and the 3' end, to which the tRNAs corresponding amino acid is attached (by aminoacyl-tRNA synthetases). tRNAs cope with the degeneracy of the genetic code in two manners: having more than one tRNA (with a specific anti-codon) for a particular amino acid; and 'wobble' base-pairing, i.e. permitting non-standard base-pairing at the 3rd anti-codon position. The record is from RNAcentral.